CAUAUUUAAGGGCGGUUUGAGGAGAAGCAGCUCUCUCUCUCUCUCUCUUCCUCAGAUAAACAAACAGUUCUGGCUGUUAUAGAGUCUUUCCGUCUUUGUCCUCAAUCUGUGUUUUGUUUCUUUUUGAGGCUGGAGGUCUGGUUGUCGUGUUCUCACAGUCAGCUGCGUUGUAUUCAUACCUCUCGUAUCAAGAGGCCCUGAUUAAAUUCAUACAUUACAUCCUAUGAAACGUCAAUACGAACGCAUGGAUUCCUUGAAAUGCUGCAACAGGUGUCAUCCUGUGCCUGCAACACGGGCUCAUCCCAGCUGAUGCAAACACAAAUAUGAUUCCCUCUGUAGCCUCGUGUGGUGGUGGGACAUGACUCUUCCACCACUGCAGCCCCUCAGAAUGCGAAUCCAUGGUCAUGAAUAUAAAUUCAACGGCCACAUAAAGAAAUGAGUCUCAAAACAGGGUCUAAUAAGAAUAUUCAUACU
Long non-coding RNA from Acanthopagrus latus (yellowfin seabream), 474 nucleotides. RefSeq lists it as uncharacterized. NCBI's taxonomy places the organism in Eukaryota, Metazoa, Chordata, Actinopteri, Spariformes, Sparidae. The transcript has 3 exons. The record is from RefSeq and is a predicted model, not a curated record.